UUCCUACGGGGGGCAGCAGUAGGGAAUCUUCCACAAUGGACGAAAGUCUGAUGGAGCAACGCCGCGUGAGUGAAGAAGGGUUUCGGCUCGUAAAGCUCUGUUGGUAGUGAAGAAAGAUAGAGGUAGUAACUGGCCUUUAUUUGACGGUAAUUACUUAGAAAGUCACGGCUGACUACGUGCCAGCAGCCGCGGUAAUACGUAGGUGGCUAGCGUUGUCCGGAAUUACUGGGGGGAAAGGGAGCGCAGGCGGG
This 251-nucleotide ribosomal RNA is filed under the name uncultured bacterium. RNAcentral's name for it is "partial 16S ribosomal RNA". It matches the Rfam family "Bacterial small subunit ribosomal RNA", at positions 336 to 579 of the family's 1533-position model. The record is from RNAcentral.